Long non-coding RNA from Paramormyrops kingsleyae, 432 nucleotides. RefSeq lists it as uncharacterized. The record is from RefSeq and is a predicted model, not a curated record. NCBI's taxonomy places the organism in Eukaryota, Metazoa, Chordata, Actinopteri, Osteoglossiformes, Mormyridae.
CCUACAUGCUGCGUAACCAGAAUCACACAUAUGCAGCUCCCUCUUUGUUCACUCAGACUUUAUUGUAUCCGAUUCAGAAAUGAAGUUGUCCUUCUCCUCCAGUGCUUCUCUCUUUCUUGUCAUCCUCAACCAUGGUUUCAUUCAGUUCAGUGAAGCACAAGGGCAGCCAGGAAAACCAAUCAUUAAAGUCAAUCAGGCUUCUGGAGAUGGGAUAGUGUAUAUCCUCUGCUCGUUUAGCCAGGAAACUAAUAAAACUAUCAGCUGUUAUCUGUACACUGGAGACACACCUGAGCCCUUCAGUUCAACAUGGACUAAAGGGGGAAAGGUCUGUAAUUUUUACAUACAUAAUACUGACCUACAGAAGCAUUUAGAGUCUCCAUUCAGCAGGGAGCUGAGCUGUGAUUACACUGUGAACACAAAGCCACCGACUCG